AAGAUUUUAUCAUCGUUUCGGGUUACAGGGUUUCAGAUCUGAGCUAUUUUUCAGUUUUGUACGUUUCAGAUCUGUACUUUUAUGGGGUUGAUCUCAACCUCUUUCUUCAGUCUUAUGCAUGCUACUUGUAUUUUUCAAUUAUUAUCUGCAGUUAAAACUUUUCAUCGGAAAUAGUCGGCAUAUGCUCUCGAUGAUUGAACUUCAAUCUAAUAGUUUCAGCCUUGUCCGAAUUUGUUCAUGUUGGAAACUAGUUUUGUUCUGAGAGAGCUUUCUUCUUCUUGGCGCUUUUUUAAAAAUGGGUUUUAUAUCAACACUUUCGAUCAGUCACAGCUCCGUCUAAUGUGGUAAAAUACUUUUCAAUUUUUAUCAUCCAAACAAAUUAAUAUGUAAUGCUUUCAUUAACCUCUCACUUUAAACUCAGAUGUUUUAUAGUAGUUCACAAAAAAUUAUCUUAUUUAUUUAAUAAUUAAAUGAAUGUUUAUUAUACAAUCCCUACUAAUAUCAUAAUCCCAUCUCACCUCACCUUAAUUUGGAUAAAAAAUUAACUC
This 548-nucleotide long non-coding RNA is filed under the name Gossypium barbadense (sea-island cotton). RNAcentral describes it as "long non-coding RNA (GBAR_LNC009882)". Lineage: Eukaryota; Viridiplantae; Streptophyta; Magnoliopsida; Malvales; Malvaceae. The record is from RNAcentral.